RNAcentral lists this long non-coding RNA (281 nucleotides) under Lathyrus oleraceus (garden pea). Its description in RNAcentral is "Pisum sativum (pea) long non-coding RNA (PSAT_LNC011132)". Lineage: Eukaryota; Viridiplantae; Streptophyta; Magnoliopsida; Fabales; Fabaceae. The record is from RNAcentral.
AAUAAUCAAGAGUCCAUACAACUUGGAACAUCAUUUGAAGUCAAGUUCUCAAGGAAUUAGGGUUUGGGAGUCACCAGUCAAUGCACAAUCAGACAGAAAUCCUAAAAGUCAACUGUUGGUCAACUGUCCAUUUAAUCAGUGAUUGGAUGAUUGGAAGUGGUUUGUGAGAGUUCAUUCAUGUCCAAAUAGUCAUCAUACAUCAUGCCAAACACCAUCAUGGAGGAAUUUGAAGCCAGAUCAAAAUUUCCCAAAAUAGAAACUGGGCCUGAAACUGAAACCUG